Molecule: long non-coding RNA, 1161 nt
Filed under: Capsicum annuum
Lineage: Eukaryota; Viridiplantae; Streptophyta; Magnoliopsida; Solanales; Solanaceae
Description: long non-coding RNA (CANN_LNC016244)
Source: RNAcentral
AUUAUUGAAGACAGGAAAUGGUACAUCCUUGAACCUGAGGGGAUGAAGCUCCGGCAAUGGAUCCAACAGCUGAGAAUCUGGAAUUACAGUGAGUAAUUAAUGCAGACUUAGUGAAAGAUAGCGCAUAAUGGAAGAAAAUGAUAUAGGUUAUACCAAUUAUGGAUAAUAUAUCUUGGUCGUUUUUAUACGUUUACUUGUUGGAAAUAUAUUAUAUCUCAAAAAGAAUACAAAUUAUUAUUUCUUCCUCUAACGCCUGCUAUUAAUUUUGGUCAAAAAAUAACUAUUAACCAAAUGUUUCUAACAAUUCAAUUUGAUCAAAUAAAUGGUCUCAAUAGCCAACUGCCUUUAUGGCUUUUAUUACUCUUAAAUUUUGGGACAUUGGCAGAUGUUCAGAUCGGUAGACCUCAAUUCUAUAUACCUAUAUGUAUGUAUGUAUGUGUGUGUAUAUAUAUAUAUAUAUAUCCUAGUCCUUGUCCUUUGUGAUACAUCUCUAAGACAAAUAAAGUGAAAUCUUUCCUCCGAUAUUCUACUGUGCUGAAUUUUCUUUUAUUUAAUCUUUGUUAGUUUAUGUGCUCAUAGCUUUAUAUUAGAAGAGUUUGUUAUCUUCGGAGAUACACCUACACAAGGUAAAAUAUCCUUAAGGACAAUGUUUUACAUGCCUCAAACUUUAAAGAAUUCUGUACAGAUUUCGUGAUCAAAUAUUCUUCAUGAGAUUUUCAACAUAUUUUUGGUCCUAUGCUUUCUAGGAGCCUUUUGGCCCUGUUACUUCUAGUAUUUUUCAUUUCUAUGUUUAUUUUUGAUAAUGCUGGCCUGAGAUGAAUGUAAAUAGGGAAAAUGAUCUAUAGGGAUUCAUAUAGCCGAUCCUAACUUGUUCAAGUCUAAAGCAUAGUUCUUGUUAUGAUAUUGAAUUCAAAAUGAUUUUUCAUAGUUAAGCACAGUUUUCUUUGAUCCAGAGAUGUGUUUGUUCACAUACCUUCAAAAGGAAAAUAUUUUUCUGGUUGCUGCAAAAUGGUGAUCAUAGAGUGCAUGUAUGCAGCACUGAGAAUGCACAGAACAAUGCUGGGAAGCCUCAGCUGAGUGGCUACAUCAUCCACGUAGAACAUGAUGUUGUCAUAAAUGAUACAAGCAAGCUGAUCACCUUGCAAAUUUUCUUCCUCUUCC